This is a long non-coding RNA of Sebastes umbrosus (honeycomb rockfish), 463 nucleotides long. RefSeq lists it as uncharacterized. Lineage: Eukaryota; Metazoa; Chordata; Actinopteri; Perciformes; Sebastidae. The transcript has 3 exons. The record is from RefSeq and is a predicted model, not a curated record.
GUUCAGGCUGGUCAUGCUGGCGGUGCGGUGAGCGCCGCCCUGAGGACAGACACCACAGAAGAAGAGUUUGGUUAUUGUUUGACUGAAGGAACUUCCAGCAGUCGGAGCUCGACAGCUGAAGACUCGGAAAAAGAAACACACGAUAACAACACAGGAGCGAGGUCGCUGACCUUCCUGAUGGUGGCGCUGUAGUGUCCCAUCAUGCUCUGGUCGAUGCCUUCGAUCAGUCGCACGCGCUCACAGACGGCCUCCGUCGCCAUGGAGCUGAGGAGGACGGCGGGAGCGCCCGACACCACGGAGGCCGAACCCUGAACACCAACACACGCAGUUUCAGAGCAUCAGAAGAAGCAGAAACAGAAAAAAAAUCAACUUUUGUACAUCAAAGUCUCUAAAAGUUACACAGCCCCACAAACCACAGAAGAAGAGACGAGAGGUGGAGUCCGGCGUCGCCAACAGCAGAAGA